This 701-nucleotide ribosomal RNA is filed under the name Occidozyga cf. laevis KU 302247. RNAcentral's name for it is "partial large subunit ribosomal RNA". It matches the Rfam family "Bacterial large subunit ribosomal RNA", at positions 1498 to 2506 of the family's 2925-position model. Lineage: Eukaryota; Metazoa; Chordata; Amphibia; Anura; Dicroglossidae. The record is from RNAcentral.
CUAAUUAUGAAAAAUCCUAUGUUAAAACUAGUAACAAGAAAAUGAAUUUCUCCAAAGUGUAAACAUAAACCAAAAUGGACAGCCCAUUGGUGAUUAACGACCUUGAACUCACUAUAACAAAACAUCUAGAAAACUUUAUAUUUUAGCGUCGUUAACCUUACACAAGAACUCUUCUGGAAAGAUUAAAAGGAAGAGAAGGAACUCGGCAAAUUUUAACCCCGCCUGUUUACCAAAAACAUCGCCUUUUGCAUAAAUAUAAAAGGUCCCGCCUGCCCACUGUUUUUAAAAAUCAACGGCCGCGUGAUUUAAACGCGCUAAGGUAGCAUAAUAAUUUGUUCUUUAAAUGAGGACUUGUAUCAAUGGCAUCACGAGGGUUAUACUGUCUCCUCUCCCCAAUCAGUGAAACUAAUCUCCCUGUGAAAAAGCAGGAAUAAGCCUAUAAGACGAGAAGACCCCAUGGAGCUUAAAACAUAGUAACAACCAUGAUAACAUAUCAACAUAAUUUUUAGCCAUGUAUACUAGUUUUAGGUUGGGGUGACCACGGAGUAAAAUAAAGCCUCCACGACGAAAAGAGUAUGCACUUUUAUCUAAGAGAUACUUCUCUAAGAAUUAUUAAAAUAACGUUUAAUGAUCCGACUAUCGACCAACGGACCAAGUUACCCUGGGGGAUAACAGCGCAAUCCACUCUGAAAGCUCCUAUC